GACGAAGGGGGCAAGCGUUGUUCGGAAUUACUGGGCGUAAAGCGCACGUAGGCGGGUUGUUAAGUCAGGGGUGAAAUCCUGGAGCUCAACUCCAGAACUGCCUUUGAUACUGGCAACCUAGAGACUGGAAGAGGUUAGUGGAAUUCCCAGUGUAGAGGUGAAAUUCGUAGAUAUUGGGAAGAACACCAGUGGCGAAGGCGGCUAACUGGUCCAGCACUGACGCUGAGGUGCGAAAGCGUGGGGAGCAAACAGG
This 253-nucleotide ribosomal RNA is filed under the name uncultured bacterium. RNAcentral describes it as "partial 16S ribosomal RNA". It matches the Rfam family "Bacterial small subunit ribosomal RNA", at positions 524 to 776 of the family's 1533-position model. The record is from RNAcentral.